Molecule: ribosomal RNA, 274 nt
Filed under: uncultured bacterium
Lineage: Bacteria
Description: partial 16S ribosomal RNA
Rfam family: Bacterial small subunit ribosomal RNA
Source: RNAcentral
AUACGGAGGGUGCAAGCGUUACUCGGAAUCACUGGGCGUAAAGCGCGCGCAGGCGGGCUGAUAAGUUGGAUGUGAAAGCCUACGGCUCAACCGUAGAACUGCAUCCAAAACUGUCAGUCUUGAGUGUGGGAGAGGAAGAUGGAAUUAGUUGUGUAGGGGUAAAAUCCGUAGAGAUAACUAGGAAUACCAAAAGCGAAGGCAAUCUUCUGGAACACUACUGACGCUGAGGCGCGAAGGCGUGGGGAGCAAACAGGAUUAGAAACCCCGGUAGUCC